UUUCACUUAGUUCUCUAUUCUUGUUGUUAAUCGUUUAUCUUGAUAUGCCUUAUCAUCCAAUUGAAUUUCUUGUUGAAUUUUUAGAACCCAAGUGGGGAAAUAUGAAAAGUUCAUAAGCUGAUACUUUUUGCAGCUCUGAGAGAUCUCUUUUCCCAUUACACGGAAGCAUGGAAAUUAUGGUACACUGAAGUUGCUGGGAAGAAACCAUUACACAUCUCCUAAUUUUUCCCAUUACACGGAAGCAUGGAAAUUAUGGUACACUGAAGUUGCUGAGAAGAAACCAUUACACCUCCUAAAUUCUGAUACUUUGUGGCUCUGCUUUUCGCUAUGACCAGUACAGUGUUGGGCUCUCAAAAUUCUUCUUUUUGUACUUUUUAGGACAGAAGAAAUGGCUUCAGGUUGGAUGCACAUUCCCCGUGCACCAUCUUAGCAUGGC
RNAcentral lists this long non-coding RNA (436 nucleotides) under Populus trichocarpa (black cottonwood). RNAcentral describes it as "long non-coding RNA (PTRI_LNC003480)". Lineage: Eukaryota; Viridiplantae; Streptophyta; Magnoliopsida; Malpighiales; Salicaceae. The record is from RNAcentral.